Molecule: ribosomal RNA, 454 nt
Filed under: uncultured Bifidobacterium sp.
Lineage: Bacteria; Bacillati; Actinomycetota; Actinomycetes; Bifidobacteriales; Bifidobacteriaceae
Description: bacterial SSU rRNA
Rfam family: Bacterial small subunit ribosomal RNA
Source: RNAcentral
CGGAUGCUCCGACAUGACGCAUGUCGUGUCGGGAAAGAUUCAUCGGUAUGGGAUGGGGUCGCGUCCUAUCAGCUUGAUGGCGGGGUAACGGCCCACCAUGGCUUCGACGGGUAGCCGGCCUGAGAGGGCGACCGGCCACAUUGGGACUGAGAUACGGCCCAGACUCCUACGGGAGGCAGCAGUGGGGAAUAUUGCACAAUGGGCGCAAGCCUGAUGCAGCGACGCCGCGUGCGGGAUGACGGCCUUCGGGUUGUAAACCGCUUUUGACUGGGAGCAAGCCCUUCGGGGUGAGUGUACCUUUCGAAUAAGCACCGGCUAACUACGUGCCAGCAGCCGCGGUAAUACGUAGGGUGCAAGCGUUAUCCGGAAUUAUUGGGCGUAAAGGGCUCGUAGGCGGUUCGUCGCGUCCGGUGUGAAAGUCCAUCGCUUAACGGUGGAUCCGCGCCGGGUACGG